AGGCUCCAAAAACUCUUUCUUCUUCAAUCGACGACGGCUGGCCAAUCUUCAAAAAUCCCUCUUCAAAAACCCUAACCCCAAUCUUCCCCAUGCCCACCGCGGUGUCCGCUCUUAUUCUCUCAUCGACUGCUCCCUCACCAUCUUCUUCCUCUUCUUCUUCCUCCACUAGGGCACAACAGCACUGCAGCAUCCCAAAUUUCGUUCUCCUUCCUCUUCUCCCUAUGAACCUCUCUCCCUUGUCGAUUCAAGCUCUCCCUCACCGGUCCUCAUACUCAAGUGUUAUUCGUAGAGCUGCAGAUGCCAUUACAAAUCUUUCCCAUGAGAACAUUUUCAUCAAAACGCGGGUUAGGAUGGAAGGUGGGAAUAUUCCUCCACUUGUUGAGUUGCUUGAAUUUACUGACACAAAGGUUGAAAGAGCUACUGCUGGGGCAUUAUGAACAUUGGCCUUUAAGAACGAUGAGAAUAAAAACUAGAUUGUUGAGUGCAAUGCUCUCCCCACACUGAUUUUGAUCCUUCGUUUUGAGGAUAUUGCUAUACAUUAUGAAGCGGUAGAAUUUUCCCAAGUCACAAACUGGAAUAUUUAGUACUUUUUAAUGGAGCGAUAUUUGGUUUGCAUUCUAUAAAAUAUAAAUUGUGCACUCAUGCCCCAAUAUAAAAAGAGAAGUUCUUAUCGCAGGAGCUUGCAAUCUGUUAUUGAAUUACUCAGUUCUUGUUGCUCUGAGAGCCAAAGGGAGGCAACAUUAUUACUUGGACAAUUUGCGGCAACUGAUUUGGAUUGUAAGAUUCAUAUUGUACAAAGAGAUGUUGUUUGACCCUUAAUUGAGAUGCUUCAGUCACCUGAUGUACAGCUUCGAGAAAUGUCAACUUUUGCGUUGGGGAGGUUGGUACAAAAGGCGAGGGAUGGAUGGUUGGGUGUCUCUCAGAGGUUUGCUACUGAGUAUAACAGGUAUUUCUACUAUCAUUCGAACUGCGUUAAGAAAUUAAACUAUUUUGAUAGCUACGUGAGCAACCAUUCCACGUAUUCUCUCUUAUUUUUUUGAUAACUAUGUGAGCAACCAUCCACUAAUUCUUAAAGUAUGUUUGUAAGCUUUCAACCUAACCUCAUUUCCACUAAUUUCUAAAGAGGAGUUCAAGUAUUGAUUACUCAAAUAGAAGAUGCCCGGAUUCUUGUUGCAGAUUUGGGUAUCAUAGACUUUAGUUGUCACUAAUAUAAUCACGUCCUUUCCCUGACCUAUUAAAUCUCUAGUAAUCAAAACCAGAUUUUUGGUGUUAAGUUUGCAUAAGAGUCAUCUAUUUUUCUUAUAUUCUUAUAUUCAUUUCUCUUUGAUGGAGUUAUUUUCUGCUCAAAGCAGUGAAUUUUGCCAGUCCAUGAAUUUUAUCCUUGGUGAGGUAAUUGUUACUUCUGCCUUUUUAAUUUAUCAUUUAAGCAAGAAAGAAAGAAAGAAAGAAAGAAAGAAGUGGUUGAUCAAUUAAUUUGAUUUCUGUAGUUAUUACUUGAAGGGCUUUGAGUUCUGAUUCAAGUUGUGUAAUAUAAUGAAGUUGUUUGAGUCGGUACUUUUGAGAGUAUUGUCUACUUUGCAUCACCCUAGCAAACAAAAACAAUUAACCCAUGAGUAAAAAAAAAACCAUGAAUAUAUGUAUAUAUGUACGACGACGUACGUGCAUGGAUAAAAAGCAAUUUAAGCAAUUAUUUUCUCUUGAAUUGUUUGUCUACCCAACAAGUUCCCGGUAUACUUUUUUUUCUUAAUAUUUGGUAUCCCUAAUUAUAUGUUGAAAGAUGGUGGGAGAUUAUUCUUCCAAAAGUAGCUCCCUUUCUUUACAAUAAUGGAGGCCCUGCAAUAAUGGUCUAGGUAUGUAAAAUUAUUAUUUUUAGCACAUCUUCUAUGGUUAAGGUAUGUGAUUUGGACUUAUUCUUUGUGCAUUAUUUGUCAAGAACUUUUUAAGCUUCCUAUACUACUGGAAACAUCUUGUUUUUAAAUGUCUUUAGGGUAGUCUCUUUGUCCACUUUCACUCUUCAUGGGUCGAAAGUAUAGCUUCCCUUCUUUACAUUAUGUAUUUUUUUUAGGUGUCCUUUGGCAUCGAAAGAUUAUUACGAUUGGACUUGAAGUUAAAUUUGUAGAGACAAUGUGCGCUAAAAGUUGUUCUCAGCCGUCUACUUCAAAUCCCAGCACUUCAUAAUCCAUUUUCAUUGAAAAUGUUUUGACAUAAUUCAUUGGAGCAAUGAAGCCAUAUUUACGCCAAUUCAUUGAUGUAUAACUUUUUUGUAGGUUUGGUGGAUUUUUUUUGUUUAAAUGUAGUUAUUUAAAUAGUUUGUUCGUACCAAAACACAUUUGUACCAACAAUUAAAGCAAUAUUACAAAGUGUGUUUCUUUC
Cucumis melo (muskmelon) is the source of this 2373-nucleotide long non-coding RNA. RefSeq lists it as uncharacterized. The record is from RefSeq and is a predicted model, not a curated record. The transcript has 9 exons. Lineage: Eukaryota; Viridiplantae; Streptophyta; Magnoliopsida; Cucurbitales; Cucurbitaceae.